Molecule: ribosomal RNA, 253 nt
Filed under: uncultured bacterium
Lineage: Bacteria
Description: partial 16S ribosomal RNA
Rfam family: Bacterial small subunit ribosomal RNA
Source: RNAcentral
UACAGAGGGUGCAAGCGUUAAUCGGAAUUACUGGGCGUAAAGCGCGCGUAGGCGGUCGGGUCAGUCGGUUGUGAAAACCCCGGGCUUAACCUGGGAAUUGCAGUCGAUACUGGCCGGCUAGAGUGUGGAAGAGGGAAGCGGAAUUUCAGGUGUAGCGGUGAAAUGCGUAGAUAUCGGAAGGAACACCAGUGGCGAAGGCGGCUUCCUGGUCCAACACUGACGCUGAGGCGAGAAAGCGUGGGUAGCGAACAGG